GGGCCUCUAAUUAAAUAUAAUACUGUCUUGUCAAGCCAGAACUGUGGGUUAAACCCCCACGUGGCCUU
RNAcentral lists this transfer RNA (68 nucleotides) under Muraenolepis orangiensis (Patagonian moray cod). It matches the Rfam family "tRNA". Rfam says of the family: Transfer RNA (tRNA) molecules are approximately 80 nucleotides in length. Their secondary structure includes four short double-helical elements and three loops (D, anti-codon, and T loops). Further hydrogen bonds mediate the characteristic L-shaped molecular structure. tRNAs have two regions of fundamental functional importance: the anti-codon, which is responsible for specific mRNA codon recognition, and the 3' end, to which the tRNAs corresponding amino acid is attached (by aminoacyl-tRNA synthetases). tRNAs cope with the degeneracy of the genetic code in two manners: having more than one tRNA (with a specific anti-codon) for a particular amino acid; and 'wobble' base-pairing, i.e. permitting non-standard base-pairing at the 3rd anti-codon position. Lineage: Eukaryota; Metazoa; Chordata; Actinopteri; Gadiformes; Muraenolepididae. The record is from Rfam by way of RNAcentral.